Molecule: ribosomal RNA, 257 nt
Filed under: uncultured bacterium
Lineage: Bacteria
Description: partial 16S ribosomal RNA
Rfam family: Bacterial small subunit ribosomal RNA
Source: RNAcentral
AGGUACAGAGGGCAGCUACCCAGCGAUGGGAUGCGAAUCUCGAAAGCCUGUCUCAGUUCGGAUUGGAGGCUGAAACCCGCCUCCAUGAAGUUGGAUUCGCUAGUAAUCGCGCAUCAGCCAUGGCGCGGUGAAUACGUUCCCGGGCCUUGUACACACCGCCCGUCAAGCCAUGGAAGCUGGGGGUGCCUGAAGUUCGUGACCGGAAGGAGCGACCUAGGGCAAAACCGGUGACUGGGGCUAAGUCGUAACAAGGUAAC